RNAcentral lists this ribosomal RNA (415 nucleotides) under uncultured prokaryote. RNAcentral's name for it is "bacterial SSU rRNA". It matches the Rfam family "Bacterial small subunit ribosomal RNA", at positions 505 to 918 of the family's 1533-position model. The record is from RNAcentral.
GUGUCAGCCGCCGCGGUAAUACGGAGGGUGCGAGCGUUGUUCGGAAUUAUUGGGCGUAAAGCGCGUGCAGGCGGUCGAGUAAGUCAGAUGUGAAGGCCUUUCGCUUAACGGAAGAAGUGCAUUUGAAACUGCUCGGCUGGAGUACGGGAGAGGAGAGUGGAAUUCCCGGUGUAGAGGUGAAAUUCGUAGAUAUCGGGAGGAACACCAGUGGCGAAGGCGGCUCUCUGGUCCGAUACUGACGCUGAGACGCGAAAGCGUGGGGAGCAAACAGGAUGAGAUACCCUGGUAGUCCACGCCGUAAACGAUGGGCACUAGGUGUAGGAGGUAUUGACCCCUUCUGUGCCGGAGCUAACGCAUUAAGUGCCCCGCCUGGGGAGUACGGCCGCAAGGCUAAAACUUAAAUGAAUUGACGGGG